GAAAGAAGAACAAGAAGAAGAAGAAGAAGGAGCCGUCGCUCGCACCCAGCAGGCAGCUAGCAAAUUAUUCAAAGAAAGAAGAGAAGAGAAACCUUGAGCUGCCUGCGAAGAAGAAAGAAACCUUAAGCUGCCUGCUGGGUGCGAGCGACGGCUCCUUCUUCUUCUUCUUCUUCUUCUUCUUCU
This 183-nucleotide microRNA precursor is filed under the name Prunus dulcis (almond). Its description in RNAcentral is "sRNA ncRNA". Lineage: Eukaryota; Viridiplantae; Streptophyta; Magnoliopsida; Rosales; Rosaceae. The record is from RNAcentral.